GCCAUUAUGGUGUAGUGGUUCGAGCGCUGGACUGUGACUCUGGAGAGCAGGGUUCGAAUCCCAGCUCAGCCA
RNAcentral lists this transfer RNA (72 nucleotides) under Phrynosoma platyrhinos (Desert horned lizard). RNAcentral describes it as "tRNA-OTHER". Lineage: Eukaryota; Metazoa; Chordata; Lepidosauria; Squamata; Phrynosomatidae. The record is from RNAcentral.